RNAcentral lists this non-coding RNA (592 nucleotides) under Myotis lucifugus (little brown bat). RNAcentral's name for it is "Eukaryotic large subunit ribosomal RNA". It matches the Rfam family "Eukaryotic large subunit ribosomal RNA", at positions 955 to 1444 of the family's 3401-position model. The record is from Rfam by way of RNAcentral. Lineage: Eukaryota; Metazoa; Chordata; Mammalia; Chiroptera; Vespertilionidae.
UUCCCUCUGCAAUUUCCCUCAGUAUAGCUGGCGCUCUGGCAGACACACAAAAGAUGCAGUUUUAUCCAUCCGGUCAAGCAAAUGAUUAGAGGUCUUGGGGCUGAAACGAUCUCAACCUAUUCUCAAACUUUCAAUUGGUCAGAAGCCCGGUUCGCUGGUGUGAAGCCGGGCGUGGAAUGCGAGUGCCUAGCGGGCCACUUUUGGUAAGCAGAACUGGCGCUGUGGGAUGAACCGAACGCCUGGUUCAGGUGCCAGAUGCUGACGCUCAUCAGACCCCAGAAAAGGUGUUGGUUGAUAGAGACAGUAGGACGGUGGCCACGGAAGUGGGAAUCCGCUAAGGAGUGUGUAACAACUCACCUGCCCAAUCAACUGGCCCUGAAAAUGUAUGGCGCCGGUGCGACGGGCCCAUACCCGGCCGGCCAUAGCUGAAGGUCGGUCGGAGACAAAGGGGGACCAGAUCCACGGGGGCGCCCGCCCCUGCCCGGCCCAGCACACACCCGCGCACGCUAUGCGAUGACAAGUCCGAGUAGGAGGGCCACUGCGGCGAGCCUUGAUGCCUAGAGCAUGGGCCCGGGUGGAGCAGUUGCAGGUG